Molecule: long non-coding RNA, 532 nt
Filed under: Mytilus galloprovincialis (Mediterranean mussel)
Lineage: Eukaryota; Metazoa; Mollusca; Bivalvia; Mytilida; Mytilidae
Source: RNAcentral
GUUGUUCACAUAUAUUUUGAAUGGGAUCUUGAAACGUCAAUUGGUAGAAUACUCAUUUCGAUAUGUUCAUAUCAUAUAUGCAGGAAGUCAAACGUUUCUGAUGAAUGCUAGCAAAGAACGUCAGUACAUUUCAUUUUUUCUAGUCAAUUACCUAAAUGGUCCGUAUGAAACUUAUUUAUUUCUAUAUGCAUACAUUAUAUUUUGAGCAUCAAUUUCCAUAAAACAAACUUUUUUUGUAUUUAAGGAGAUAUAAAGUAUAAGACAACAGCAAAGAAAUGUUGUGAUAUCUUUAGAAGCGCAGUCAAUCCUCGAAAUAUAUUUACGUCGAGCGUAGUAAUACGAUUGCGGUACAGGUACCUGAAAAAUAAUAGUUUUAGACGUUCUGCACAACAUUUGUUGUAUUCAUAAAUGGUAGGCUGAUAGGGUUAGCUGUUUGCAAACUAGUGAAAAUAUUCCAUUUAUAUAUACUGGCAUAUGCUUAUAAUGUUAUCAUCACUUUUUACACAUUGACGGCUUAAAUUAUAAACGUCAG